CCUCCCUCGCUCUCAGUCAACAUGAGCCACCACUUUUGUCAUGAGAGCCUGUGGUAUGUGUUUGCCUGGCACAAACUCAUGUUCAUGGGGAGUCAGGCUUAUUGUUUGCUACAGUCUGCCACAGGGCAAGUAAAAACUCCUGUCUCAAGCUGGCAGAAACCAAGUGAAGUCAAGAUCUCCUCAUAACGAAGUGCACACUGAGAAAGUCUUAGGCUGCUUAGGAAAUGCAGGAAUUCUUUUCUUUACCAAUGAAUGCACCACCAUGAAAAAUAAUGAAUGGACCACCAUGAAAAUUUUUGUGGAUUCUGAAAUGUUCAAGUGCUCCAGAGUUUUUAAUGAUGUCCUUUGAGUGUGCCUCUCCAUAGAUGAAAAAGGGGAGAAGUAACAUGAAAGAAAUCCUUCAGCAGUGAGAGCUGGAGGAUCAGCUCAGUGGUAGAGCAGGAGUGUUGCCUGGAGAAUGCCUGCAGAGCCCUGGAUGUGCACAGAAACAUUUGGAAACCUUUCCUUGCAUGCAUUUCCUUUCCUUACAUUUUUUACAUGCAUCUGUUCUUGUUCAGCUCUACCAGAUGAGGAACUAUCAUGUAAUGACAAGAGUUUGAAGACAUUUCCAGCUCUCUGUCACAAAGGUGCUGUGUGGCAUUAAAAGAAAU
Molecule: long non-coding RNA, 650 nt
Organism: Passer montanus (Eurasian tree sparrow)
Lineage: Eukaryota; Metazoa; Chordata; Aves; Passeriformes; Passeridae
Exons: 3
Source: RefSeq, a predicted model, not a curated record